Molecule: ribosomal RNA, 301 nt
Filed under: uncultured bacterium
Lineage: Bacteria
Description: partial 16S ribosomal RNA
Rfam family: Bacterial small subunit ribosomal RNA
Source: RNAcentral
CAGUCGCCACGGUAAUACGGAGGAUCCAAGCGUUAUCCGGAAUCAUUGGGUUUAAAGGGUCCGUAGGCGGUCUUGUAAGUCAGUGGUGAAAGCCCAUCGCUCAACGGUGGAACGGCCAUUGAUACUGCAGGACUUGAAUUAUUGGGAAGUAACUAGAUUAUGUAGUGUAGCGGUGAAAUGCUUAGAGAUUACAUGGAAUACCAAUUGCGAAGGCAGGUUACUACCAAUUGAUUGACGCUGAUGGACGAAAGCGUGGUUAGCGAACAGGAUUAGAUACCCCGGUAGUCCCUGUCUCUUAUAC